UAACACAUGCAAGUCGAGGGGCAUCGGCUUGAAAGCUUGCUUUCUUUGCCGGCGACCGGCGCACGGGUGAGUAACACGUAUCCAACCUGCCCUUUACUCGGGGAUAGCCUUUCGAAAGAAAGAUUAAUACCCGAUAGUAUAAUGAUUCCGCAUGGUUUCAUUAUUAAAGGAUUCCGGUAAAGGAUGGGGAUGCGUUCCAUUAGGUUGUUGGUGAGGUAACGGCUCACCAAGCCUUCGAUGGAUAGGGGUUCUGAGAGGAAGGUCCCCCACAUUGGAACUGAGACACGGUCCAAACUCCUGCGGGAGGCAGCAGUGAGGAAUAUUGGUCAAUGGGCGCUAGCCUGAACCAGCCAAGUAGCGUGAAGGAUGAAGGCUCUAUGGGUCGUAAACUUCUUUUAUAUAAGAAUAAAGUGCAGUAUGUAUACUGUUUUGUAUGUAUUAUAUGAAUAAGGAUCGGCUAACUCCGUGCCAGCAGCCGCGGUAAUACGGAGGAUCCGAGCGUUAUCCGGAUUUAUUGGGUUUAAAGGGAGCGUGGGUGGACUGGUAAGUCAGUUGUGAAAGUUUGCGGCUCAACCGUAAAAUUGCAGUUGAUACUGUCAGUCUUGAGUACAGUAGAGGUGGGCGGAAUUCGUGGUGUAGCGGUGAAAUGCUUAGAUAUCACGAAGAACUCCGAUUGCGAAGGCAGCUCACUGGACUGCAACUGACACUGAUGCUCGAAAGUGUGGGUAUCAAACAGGAUUAGAUACCCUGGUAGUCCACACAGUAAACGAUGAAUACUCGCUGUUUGCGAUAUACAGUAAGCGGCCAAGCGAAAGCAUUAAGUAUUCCACCUGGGGAGUACGCCGGCAACGGUGAAACUCAAAGGAAUUGACGGGGGCCCGCACAAGCGGAGGAACAUGUGGUUUAAUUCGAUGAUACGCGAGGAACCUUACCCGGGCUUAAAUUGCAGUGGAAUGAUGUGGAAACAUGUCAGUGAGCAAUCACCGCUGUGAAGGUGCUGCAUGGUUGUCGUCAGCUCGUGCCGUGAGGUGUCGGCUUAAGUGCCAUAACGAGCGCAACCCUUAUCUUCAGUUACUAACAGGUCAUGCUGAGGACUCUGGAGAGACUGCCGUCGUAAGAUGUGAGGAAGGUGGGGAUGACGUCAAAUCAGCACGGCCCUUACGUCCGGGGCUACACACGUGUUACAAUGGGGGGUACAGAAGGCAGCUAGCGGGUGACCGUAUGCUAAUCCCAAAAUCCUCUCUCAGUUCGGAUCGAAGUCUGCAACCCGACUUCGUGAAGCUGGAUUCGCUAGUAAUCGCGCAUCAGCCACGGCGCGGUGAAUACGUUCCCGGGCCUUGUACACACCGCCCGUCAAGCCAUGGGAGCCGGGGGUACCUGAAGUACGUAACCGCAAGGAUCGUCCUAGGGUAAAACUGGUGACUGGGGCUAAG
Molecule: ribosomal RNA, 1433 nt
Filed under: uncultured organism
Description: SSU rRNA
Rfam family: Bacterial small subunit ribosomal RNA
Source: RNAcentral